Molecule: non-coding RNA, 150 nt
Organism: Caenorhabditis elegans
Lineage: Eukaryota; Metazoa; Nematoda; Chromadorea; Rhabditida; Rhabditidae
Source: Ensembl
CUUAAUACUAAUACUUUUCCAUAAAAUAACGACAAAUAACCGUUUAGAGUACAAGCUAGCCUCUUAUUUGGCAAAAGGUGUUCGAGUUGACGGAAAGUGCGCGAAAAGAAUAGGUUUUUGUGUCGGAGGCGGUAUGUUUGCAUGAGUCAU